CGGUUUGUCGCGUCUGCCGUGAAAGUCCGGGGCUUAACCCCGGAUCUGCGGUGGGUACGGGCAGACUAGAGUGCAGUAGGGGAGACUGGAAUUCCUGGUGUAGCGGUGAAAUGCGCAGAUAUCAGGAGGAACACCGAUGGCGAAGGCAGGUCUCUGGGCUGUAACUGACGCUGAGGAGCGAAAGCAUGGGGAGCGAACAGGAUUAGAUACCCUGGUAGUCCAUGCCGUAAACGUUGGGCACUAGGUGUGGGGGACAUUCCACGUUUUCCGCGCCGUAGCUAACGCAUUAAGUGCCCCGCCUGGGGAGUACGGCCGCAAGGCUAAAACUCAAAGGAAUUGACGGGGGCCCGCACAAGCGGCGGAGCAUGCGGAUUAAUUCGAUGCAACGCGAAGAACCUUACCAAGGCUUGACAUGAACCGGAAUGAUGCAGAGAUGUGUCAGCCACUUGUGGCCGGUUUACAGGUGGUGCAUGGUUGUCGUCAGCUCGUGUCGUGAGAUGUUGGGUCAAGUCCCGCAACGAGCGCAACCCUCGUUCCAUGUUGCCAGCGGGUUAUGCCGGGGACUCAUGGGAGACUGCCGGGGUCAACUCGGAGGAAGGUGGGGACGACGUCAAAUCAUCAUGCCCCUUAUGUCUUGGGCUUCACGCAUGCUACAAUGGCCGGUACAAAGGGUUGCGAUACUGUGAGGUGGAGCUAAUCCCAAAAAGCCGGUCUCAGUUCGGAUUGAGGUCUGCAACUCGACCUCAUGAAGUUGGAGUC
RNAcentral lists this ribosomal RNA (759 nucleotides) under uncultured bacterium. Its description in RNAcentral is "bacterial SSU rRNA". It matches the Rfam family "Bacterial small subunit ribosomal RNA", at positions 576 to 1333 of the family's 1533-position model. The record is from RNAcentral.